RNAcentral lists this ribosomal RNA (546 nucleotides) under Triticum aestivum (bread wheat). RNAcentral describes it as "partial small subunit ribosomal RNA". Lineage: Eukaryota; Viridiplantae; Streptophyta; Magnoliopsida; Poales; Poaceae. The record is from RNAcentral.
AUGUCGCUGGAAGAGUUUCGGGCGUGGGGGGAGCACAUGCGCGCGAUGGCGGAUCACGGGUCUUUGGUGUGGGCGGAGCGCAUGGCGGCGGCAAUGGCGGGCGGCGACGAGAAGAAGAUGAAUAUGCUUCGCGUGAUCUACAUGCAGUACAAGGAUGAGGAGGAUAUGCGUCGGGAAUCACGCAUGGUGGUUCGAGCGGCUUUGAAGGAGGAACAGAUUCGGAUCAAGGAUAAGUCGCCGCUCGAGAUCAUCUAUUGGGCGAUGGAGGAGGGAAAAUACUAUGAUAUGCGGCGCGCGUGGUGGAAACGUGAGCCGGAUGAUUGGUUUCCAUCCUACACAGCCAGUGAUGGUGUGAGGGUGGUGAUCAUGACGGCUAGGUCGCCGCCACGCAGUCGGGCGGUGCCCGUCGUGACCGUCAACGGCGUGCGGGUGGUGCCGAGGCGAAAGGUGGCCCGGGUGGUUUCACAGCUGCCGCGUCGCUCUCCUCGGUUCCCCCGACGUUCUGCACGGAUCCAGGCGCUUGCACGGAGCGCUGGUGAUGAGUAG